This 425-nucleotide ribosomal RNA is filed under the name Ero sp. GH1572. Its description in RNAcentral is "partial 16S ribosomal RNA". It matches the Rfam family "Bacterial large subunit ribosomal RNA", at positions 1846 to 2600 of the family's 2925-position model. Lineage: Eukaryota; Metazoa; Arthropoda; Arachnida; Araneae; Mimetidae. The record is from RNAcentral.
UAUUAAGUAAAACCUGCUCCAUGUUUAAUAAAUAGCCGCAGAAUUUUACUGUGCUAAGGUAGCAUAAUCAUUAACCUUAUAAUUAAAGGCUUGAAUGAAAGGUUUAACAUUUAACUCCUUUUUUAAAUUUAUUUAUAAUUUAUAUUGAAAAUUAAAAUAUUUUCAUUAUUCCUAAAGACGACAAGACCCUAUCAAACUUUACCACUGUUAUGCUGGGGCAGCAAAGCAACAAUAAUUUUGUUUUCAAUAAUAAAAAAGACGACCCAAUAGUAUUGACUUCACGACUAAGUUACUGUAGGGAUAACAGCACAAUUUUCUUUAAAAGUUCUAAUUAAAAAGAAAGAUUGUGACCUCGAUGUUGAAUUAUUUACCUAAUAAACGCAAGCGUUUAUUAAGGGGGUCUGUUCGACCCUUUAAAUUUUACA